This 448-nucleotide ribosomal RNA is filed under the name uncultured bacterium. Its description in RNAcentral is "partial 16S ribosomal RNA". It matches the Rfam family "Bacterial small subunit ribosomal RNA", at positions 328 to 793 of the family's 1533-position model. The record is from RNAcentral.
UUGCCAGACUCCUACGGGAGGCAGCAGUGGGGGAUAUUGCACAAUGGAGGAAACUCUGAUGCAGCGACGCCGCGUGAGGGAAGACGGUCUUCGGAUUGUAAACCUCUGUCUUUGGGGAAGAAAAUGACGGUACCUGAAGAAGAAGCCCCGGCUAACUACGUGCCAGCAGCCGCGGUAAUACGUAGGGGGCAAGCGUUAUCCGGAUUUACUGGGUGUAAAGGGGGCGCAGACGGCGAUGCAAGCCAGGAGUGAAAGCCCGGGGCCCAACCCCGGGACUGCUCUUGGAACUGCGUGGCUGGAGUGCAGGAGGGGCAGGCGGAAUUCCUGGUGUAGCGGUGAAAUGCGUAGAUAUCAGGAGGAACACCGGUGGCGAAGGCGGCCUGCUGGACUGCAACUGACGUUGAGGCCCGAAAGCGUGGGGAGCAAACAGGAUUAGAUACCCCAGUAC